Molecule: small nuclear RNA, 101 nt
Filed under: Sorex araneus (European shrew)
Lineage: Eukaryota; Metazoa; Chordata; Mammalia; Eulipotyphla; Soricidae
Source: RNAcentral
CUACCACUGUGCUAUCAUUUACUAAAUUGGAACAAUACAGAGAGGAUUAGUAUGGGCCCUUGAGCAAGGAUGACACGCAAAUAAUAAUAUAAAUAAAUUAU